RNAcentral lists this ribosomal RNA (468 nucleotides) under uncultured bacterium. RNAcentral's name for it is "partial 16S ribosomal RNA". It matches the Rfam family "Bacterial small subunit ribosomal RNA", at positions 28 to 507 of the family's 1533-position model. The record is from RNAcentral.
GACGAACGCUGGCGGCGUGCUUAACACAUGCAAGUCGAACGGAAAGGCCCUGCUUUUGUGGGGUGCUCGAGUGGCGAACGGGUGAGUAACACGUGAGUAACCUGCCCUUGACUUUGGGAUAACUUCAGGAAACUGGGGCUAAUACCGGAUAGGAGCUCCUGCUGCAUGGUGGGGGUUGGAAAGUUUCGGCGGUUGGGGAUGGACUCGCGGGUUAUCAGCUUGUUGGUGGGGUAGUGGCUUACCAAGGCUUUGACGGGUAGCCGGCAUGAGGGGGUGACCGGCCACAUUGGGACUGAGAUACGGCCAAGACUCCUCCGGGAGGCAGCAGUGGGGAAUAUUGCACAAUGGGCGAAAGCCUGAUGCAGCAACGCCGCGUGCGGGAUGACGGCCUUCGGGUUGUAAACCGCUUUCGCCUGUGACGAAGCGUGAGUGACGGUAAUGGGUAAAGAAGCACCGGCUAAAUACGUG